GCGUCGGUGGUGCAACGGUUAGCAUACGUCCCCAGAAAGAGUGAAAUCUGGGUAUGAAUCCCGACUGACGCA
Molecule: non-coding RNA, 72 nt
Organism: Parelaphostrongylus tenuis
Lineage: Eukaryota; Metazoa; Nematoda; Chromadorea; Rhabditida; Metastrongylidae
Source: the annotation of a GenBank genome assembly